RNAcentral lists this ribosomal RNA (367 nucleotides) under Acanthamoeba sp. RNAcentral's name for it is "partial small subunit ribosomal RNA". The stretch from base 1 to 313 matches the Rfam family "Eukaryotic small subunit ribosomal RNA", at positions 805 to 1116 of the family's 1831-position model. Lineage: Eukaryota; Discosea; Longamoebia; Acanthamoebidae. RNAcentral also lists the same sequence under 1 other name. The record is from RNAcentral.
UAGCAUGGGAUAAUGGAAUAGGACCCUGUCCUCCUAUUUUCAGUUGGUUUGCCGCGAGGACCAGGGUAAUGAUUAAUAGGGAUAGUUGGGGGCAUUAAUAUUUAAUUGUCAGAGGUGAAAUUCUUGGAUUUAUGAAAGAUUAACUUCUGCGAAAGCAUCUGCCAAGGAUGUUUUCAUUAAUCAAGAACGAAAGUUAGGGGAUCGAAGACGAUCAGAUACCGUCGUAGUCUUAACCAUAAACGAUGCCGACCAGCGAUUAGGAGACGUUGAAUACAAAACACCACCAUGCGCAUUGCGGUCGUCUUUGGUGUCGCUCACAAGGCGGCACCGGGGCGGCUUAGCUCGCAUGGCACCGGUGAAUGACUCC